Canis lupus familiaris (dog) is the source of this 565-nucleotide long non-coding RNA. RefSeq lists it as uncharacterized. The transcript is spliced from 3 exons. The record is from RefSeq and is a predicted model, not a curated record. NCBI's taxonomy places the organism in Eukaryota, Metazoa, Chordata, Mammalia, Carnivora, Canidae.
UCUCUUCCUCUUCUUCUACCUUCUGUCGGCAGACAGUUCUACUCCGGAGGGUUCAGGUGCUGGCCUGUCCGUGGGGCUCUGGAGAAUACCCCUAACGUGGGUCAGGGCUGCUCAUUCUUCUCCCUUCAUGACUGUGUCAGUCCAGGUUCUCUGGGGGACUGAGGGAUAUAUUCCCGGGUGGAUGUGACAUCUGGAAGGAAGAUCCUUAUAUUAAUACCACAUUGGGGAUGACACCAACAAAUGGAGGAGUGCAGAGUCAAAAAAAAAAAAAAAUCUCAAGAGAAUGGAACUCAGAAAACUGGAUUAAGUCUGUCCCAACAGGUGCACUACUUUUGGACAUCCAGCAAUGGGAGUCAUGUCAUUACUUGUUGUUUAAAUCACUUUCUGUUACUUACAGCCAGAACCUCUUAGUGAGAAAAUGCCCUGCCAAGUUUUCUUCAGAAGUACCCUCGACUCUUUCCAUUCUUCCCCAUUAUAAUUGUCAUCUCUUCAAUGCACAUCUACUACUGGCACUGUCCUAGUAAAUUUAUAUACCUUCAUUCUCUCCUCUUUCUGAUUCAUCUUU